Molecule: non-coding RNA, 115 nt
Organism: Acanthosepion pharaonis
Lineage: Eukaryota; Metazoa; Mollusca; Cephalopoda; Sepiida; Sepiidae
Source: the annotation of a GenBank genome assembly
UUAUGGCCACAUCACAUUGAAAACACCGGUUCGUGGGCGAUCACCGAAGGUAAGCAACGUCUAGCCUCAGCAGUACCUAGAUGGAUGACCGCUUGGGAAUAACAGGUGCUGUAAG